RNAcentral lists this ribosomal RNA (424 nucleotides) under Verrucomicrobiota bacterium. Its description in RNAcentral is "Verrucomicrobia bacterium partial 16S ribosomal RNA". It matches the Rfam family "Bacterial small subunit ribosomal RNA", at positions 355 to 776 of the family's 1533-position model. Lineage: Bacteria; Pseudomonadati; Verrucomicrobiota. The record is from RNAcentral.
UGAGGAAUAUUGGUCAAUGGACGCAAGUCUGAACCAGCCAAGUAGCGUGCAGGAUGACGGUCCUAUGGGUUGUAAACUGCUUUUAUAUGGGGAUAAAGUGGGGAACGUGUUCCCUUUUGCAGGUAUCAUAUGAAUAAGGACCGGCUAAUUCCUUGCCAGCAGCCGCGGUAAUACUGAAGGUUCGGGCGUUAUCCGGUUUUAUUGGGUUUAAAGGGAGCGAAGGCCGUUUGGUAAGCGUGUUGUGAAAUGUAGGAGCUCAACUUCUAGAUUGAAGCGCGAACUGUCAGACUUGAGUGCGCACAACGUAGGCGGAAUUCAUGGUGUAGCGGUGAAAUGCUUAGAUAUCAUGAAGAACUCCAAUUGCGAAGGCAGCUUACGGGAGCGCAACAGACGCUGAAGCUCGAAGGUGCAGGUAUCGAACAGG